This is a non-coding RNA of Domibacillus enclensis, 73 nucleotides long. The record is from Rfam. NCBI's taxonomy places the organism in Bacteria, Bacillati, Bacillota, Bacilli, Caryophanales, Bacillaceae.
GCCGGUGUAGCUCAACUGGUAGAGCAACUGACUUGUAAUCAGUAGGUUGGGGGUUCAAGUCCUCUUGCCGGCA